AAAGUGGAUGCGUGUGUUGAGGAAAAAUGGAAAGAAGGAGUGUUUGAGGUUGUUGGUGUAAAGGGGUUUUGAGUUGUGAAGAGGCGGAAGUGGUGGUGUGUCGCCAGAAAAUGAGAGGUUCAAAGUGUGAAGGUGGUGUAAGACAGAGGGAGUCUGUGGUAUAGACGAUCAAUCAAGGUUAAGGGAGUGGAGAUGUUUUGCAAGGUGAGUGACGUGAGGUGUUUAUGUGUUUGUGUGUU
This 239-nucleotide long non-coding RNA is filed under the name Lathyrus oleraceus (garden pea). RNAcentral describes it as "Pisum sativum (pea) long non-coding RNA (PSAT_LNC002251)". Lineage: Eukaryota; Viridiplantae; Streptophyta; Magnoliopsida; Fabales; Fabaceae. The record is from RNAcentral.